UACGAAGGGUGCAAACGUUGCUCGGAAUUACUGGGCGUAAAGGGCUCGUAGGCGGCCAACUAAGUCAGACGUGAAAUCCCUCAGCUUAACUGGGGAACUGCGUCUGAUACUGGAUGGCUUGGAUCCGGGAGAGGGAUGCGGAAUUCCAGGUGUAGCGGUGAAAUGCGUAGAUAUCUGGAGGAACACCGGUGGCGAAGGCGGCAUCCUGGACCGGUAUUGACGCUGAUGCGCGAAAGCCAGGGGAGCAAACGGG
Molecule: ribosomal RNA, 253 nt
Filed under: uncultured bacterium
Lineage: Bacteria
Description: partial 16S ribosomal RNA
Rfam family: Bacterial small subunit ribosomal RNA
Source: RNAcentral